UUGCCGGGUGUCCUUUCAUUAUUCCUCGUUCGACACGUUUUUACGACACGCAUUGACAUUGUUACGAGUACAUAGGAGCAAUAAUUCCCGGGUAUAUGGUCCAGUUUUUGCUACACUCGAGCGAUGCUGCCGGGGGAAGGGCGCCUAGCCUGGGAAAGAGGCUGAUAAAGCCACUUGAGUUUGAGUUCAUUUAGCCUCCAACACUCCAACCGCUGCGGGUUAUUUUCCAACGGGGUAAUUAGACUUUCUAACGAAUAACUGUUUAAAUAGAAAUUAAUUUUUCCAGCUUAAAUGGUCCAUCUGAUGACUUGGGCACAACUCUGCUGCAUCGAGAUGUCGUACCCAUCAUGGAAGUACUUGAUUAUUCUCGUCCUGGGGUCCAAUUGGAAUAAAUAAAUUCCACCAACAAAUUAUUGAUAUUUAAAUAAUAUCGUUGAUUACUUGGGUAUAAUUACUGUGUCAUCAGACUGAUUACACAGAAUUCAGGACUUUUGUACUCGUCGGUGUCCGCUUCAGGUGGUACGGGGUACGUGCAGCAUGAUUUGAUAUCUUCUCAAAAGAGCACAUGGCCACUGAGACGCGUUUGGAGUUGAUUCUUCCUCUCUGUUCUCUAAAUAUGACGAAUGGUGUGCACAUGGAAGCAGUGUAAUAACUAAUUACCCGCGUAUCCAAGUGCUGUAGCAAGUACGAUCCAUCCGACAGCCACUGCAAACGCGGUUCUAUGAAAUCCUGCGUAGAAGGCAGCCUCCACCCCAUCAUAUUUGUGAUCGUCG
This is a long non-coding RNA of Diachasmimorpha longicaudata, 773 nucleotides long. RefSeq lists it as uncharacterized. The transcript is spliced from 3 exons. NCBI's taxonomy places the organism in Eukaryota, Metazoa, Arthropoda, Insecta, Hymenoptera, Braconidae. The record is from RefSeq and is a predicted model, not a curated record.